UACAGAGGUGGCAAGCGUUGUUCGGAAUUACUGGGCGUAAAGGGCGCGUAGGCGGCCUUCUAAGUCAGACGUGAAAUCCCCCGGCUUAACCUGGGAACUGCGUCUGAUACUGGGAGGCUAGAGUAUGGGAGAGGGAUGUAGAAUUCCAGGUGUAGCGGUGAAAUGCGUAGAUAUCGGAAGGAACACCGGUGGCGAAAGCGGCGCGCUGGACCUCUUCUGACGCUGAGGCGCGAAAGCCAGGGGAGCAAACGGG
RNAcentral lists this ribosomal RNA (253 nucleotides) under uncultured bacterium. Its description in RNAcentral is "partial 16S ribosomal RNA". It matches the Rfam family "Bacterial small subunit ribosomal RNA", at positions 524 to 776 of the family's 1533-position model. The record is from RNAcentral.